RNAcentral lists this unclassified non-coding RNA (1220 nucleotides) under Hevea brasiliensis (rubber tree). The record is from RNAcentral. Lineage: Eukaryota; Viridiplantae; Streptophyta; Magnoliopsida; Malpighiales; Euphorbiaceae.
GUGAACACAGUGAUGUCUUUUGUUGAUUCCAAUGGAGUUCACUCAUCAAUGCAGAACUUGGUAUCAUCAGAUGCUGCUCCGACCCCCUACUACCCUAUCAUGCCGUCGAUGCCAUCUCCACCUCCGGCGGCGGAGAUUUAUCAAGUUCCCACCCCUGGCUUUACCGUUCCUCUUCCCGAUCUAUCAGGGGUAGCACUCCCUAAUUCAAUUGAACCGGUUAAGAGGAAGCGGGGAAGGCCUAGGAAGUAUGCUCCAGAUGGUUCUGCCAACUCCGGGAUGGUCUCUCCUCCAUCGGCGGCGCAGUCUGCCGGUGGAUUUUCGCCUACGGAGGGAGGAGAUGUACCGUUGCGGAAAAAGGGUAGGGGCAGACCUCCUGGUUCUGGGAGGAAACAACAAUUGGGUGAUUUAGGAUCUGCAAGUGCUGGGACUGGAUUCAAACCACAUAUUAUCACAGUACAAGCAGGGGAGGAUGUAUGGGCAAAACUAAUGUCAUUCUCUCAAAGUACCUCUCAAGCUGUCUGCAUCAUGUCAGCUAAUGGCUCCAUAUCUAAUGUGACACUUCAGCAAGCAGCACUGUCUGUUGGAAAUGUAGCAUAUGAGGGUCAGUUUGAGAUCCUGUCUCUGUCUGGUCACUUUCUACCAUCAGAAUCUGGUGGCGAGCGCAUCAGGACAGGUGGUUUGGGUGUGUUACUAGCUGGAGCAGAUGGCCAGGCACUAGGUGGUGGUGUGGCAGGAGUUCUUACUGCUGCAUCGGCUGUACAGGUUAUUGUAGGCACUUUUGGUAUGCAAGGGCAAAAGCAGUUGAAAUUGGAUAAUUCUGAUGGUUUUGGCGUGCCAUCCUUGGUGCAUCCCCCUGGAUCAACAGCGGCUAAAAGUCCCUCGUCAUUUGGAACUGUAAGCGAGUCCAGUGGUGAGCCUGUGAGUCCUCAUAAUCAGCUUGGUGAAACUUCAACUAUUAGCACUCCCGUGGUUGCUAAUAACUUGCCCUGGUAAAUGAUAGGAGUGAUGACUUACCUCAUUUCAAUGAUUAUCAUAUCGACAACUUGUGUUGAUAUUCCCUCCAUCCCUUGUUAGAGAAGCCAACCUUUAUGUGUUGGUUUAGAUUUUCAUUCUAGUUUGAUUUUAUUAUAUAAGCACCGCGUUGUGUAAACAUUAAACGGAUCAGUUUGAAUUUUGUAUUUGGAAAUUGUCGAGUUCUAUUUCUCGAUGAAGCAGAAAAU